Long non-coding RNA from Vulpes vulpes (red fox), 1818 nucleotides. The record is from Ensembl. Lineage: Eukaryota; Metazoa; Chordata; Mammalia; Carnivora; Canidae.
GCACAGAUGUAUUAGAAUCUAGAAUACUAUAUGGAAUCACCAAACAAAGAGACCUCCAGGAGGCAAGGCUGGAGGACAGGUCUUGGGAUGGGGCAGAGACAAGUGGGGCCAAGAGGAAGCCAGAUGAGGAACCUGGGAGGGAAUGAUCAUGUAAAGGCAGUUACUCACCAGGAGCAGGCUGAGACCACGUAAGACCAAAGGGGAUGCCUAGCAGAGAGGUGGAGCCCUGGCUCUGCUGGCAUUUCCUCCUGCAGCUGGCAGUGGGGGUGUGUGGGCCCCAAGUGCAUAGUCUUUGCUUCUGCGGGGUUCUUGUCAGUGUGUGCAUGACCCAAGGAGAGAGCCAAGAGGGACUCCAAGGCUCCUGGCUUCCAAGCUCUGCCCAAGAAGAGCUGUCCUACCCUCAGGAGAGCUUUACUGUAACCAGGCAAUUUAGCCUCCCAAGCAGUUGGACAGGCCCCGGAGAUAAUAAAGAAAGAAGGUAACAGAGUGGAUCUGCAAAGCCUUUAAUACACAGCAUUAAAAGGUGAUCCUAGAGCAAACAGAAGUCUGAGAACCUCAUUUUAUCUGCUAACGUGAAUCUCCUUGGCAAGAUCUCCAGACUAUGUGAUCACUACCAAAGUGACGGGGAGCUCACUCCUCCGCUGACCAGCUCAUGGACCUCUUUGGACUUCCUAAUGAAUUCCUGCAAGGUUGUUCCAAAUCUCCUGGGUCUGCCAGGGGCCUCCAGCCACCCUCACCCUCCAGACCAGAGGUAAUUUUACUGAGAAAGUCACAGGCAUGUGUCCCUGGCUUUCCUCAGCUCCCUUCCCCAUCAAGAUUUCUAUUUUCACUCCAACUGAUCUCUGAGGAAGAGGUGCCCAAUUUCCUCCCAACAAACCUCCCUGCCUGCAGAGUGACCUCAUUCCCUUCUGUCUCUUCAAAACCGUGCUGCAUUCACUUUUCCACCCUUCACAUCAUCCAUCUCUUCUGCUUUUUCUCCAGCCUACAGACAUCUCGUCUCCCUUUCCCUAAAAGCCAUAAGCAAUUUCCAUUCUCUCCCAAACUAUUCUCUUCUUCUGUCACCGUCCAUCUUUCAGAAAGGAUGAGCUUCACAUCACCUUCUCACCUGCCACAUUCUUCUCUGCUUUUUGCCCUUUCAUUAAUGACCAACGCUCAACCGAAGCGGCCAUCUUAAGGCCCCCAAUGAUUUUCUCAAUCAAGUGAUUGUUGACUAUUGUGCCCUCUGGGAAAUUUGCUCCUGUCUGGGGUGCCAUGGCAGUGUAAUUUCCUUAGAGCCCCUUCUUUCCUAUCAAUGUUGUACCUCUAGAAGUAUCCGUUCUUGGACCUUUUAGUGAGCUUCAAAUUACUUCUGCCUCUUACUCUACAGCAGCCAGAAGAAUUGGGUGGGAAUGUGGGAAUGAUCCCACUCCCACCUCUAGUGGUAAGCAAUGACUGAUCUAAGGCCAUGAGUAUAAACCCCUUCCUCCUACCACACUGAUGGUUCAGGGGAAAGCAGACCAGAGCAAUCAACAUGUGGCACUUACAUGUGACCUAUGGUGACUUGGUGAGAACAAAGCUCAAGACUUUUGUUUCAUAGCUCAGGGAAGCCAGUUGUUUCUCUCCUCUUGGGUGUAAAUGAUAAAGCAUAUCAAUCUAGUUGCUGAUUGCUGUUGGCUACCAUCUUACAACCUUGAAGCAAUCUGGUAUGAAGACGAAGUCAAAACACAGAAUAGAGCAGAGUUUAGAGAACUGAAGUAUAAUGGAUCCAGAUCCCUGAUGGUCAGCAGCUGGGAUUUUUUAGUCACGCAAGUCAAUAAAUUCCUUGUAUUAUUUAAAUCA